Molecule: non-coding RNA, 135 nt
Organism: Hordeum vulgare subsp. vulgare (domesticated barley)
Lineage: Eukaryota; Viridiplantae; Streptophyta; Magnoliopsida; Poales; Poaceae
Source: Rfam
UGACUACUCCCUCCGUCCCAAAAUUCUUGACUUAGAUUUGUUUACAUAUGGCUGUAUCUAGUCACAUUUUACUAUUGGAUACAUCCGUAUCCUGACAAAUCAAAGACACGAAUUUUGGGACUGAGGUAAUAUAUA